Molecule: ribosomal RNA, 253 nt
Filed under: uncultured bacterium
Lineage: Bacteria
Description: partial 16S ribosomal RNA
Rfam family: Bacterial small subunit ribosomal RNA
Source: RNAcentral
UACGGAGGGUGCGAGCGUUGUUCGGAAUCACUGGGCGUAAAGCGCGCGUAGGCGGCCCACUAAGUCUGAUGUGAAAGCCCGGGGCUCACCCCCGGAAGUGCAUUGGAAACUGGUGGACUCGAGUCCCGGAGAGGAGAGUGGAAUUCCCAGUGUAGCGGUGAAAUGCGUAGAUAUUGGGAGGAACACCAGUGGCGAAGGCGGGUCACUGGGCCGGAACUGACGCUGAGGCGCGAAAGCGUGGGGAGCAAACAGG